AGUGGAUGUACCCUCGGUUCGAUGUUUCUUUACUAUCAUCACCGGGUAUACAUUCAUCAA
Molecule: microRNA precursor, 60 nt
Filed under: Ascaris suum (pig roundworm)
Lineage: Eukaryota; Metazoa; Nematoda; Chromadorea; Rhabditida; Ascarididae
Description: Asu-Mir-36-o27_pre stem-loop
Source: RNAcentral